GACGAACGCUGGCGGCGUGCUUAACACAUGCAAGUCGAACGGUAAGGCCCUUCGGGGUACACGAGUGGCGAACGGGUGAGUAGCACGUGGGUGAUCUACCCUGCACUUCGGGAUAAGCCUGGGAAACUGGGUCUAAUACCGGAUAGGACUCCUGGCUUCAUGGUUGGGGGUGGAAAGCUUUUGCGGUGUGGGAUGGGCCCGCGGCCUAUCAGCUUGUUGGUGGGGUAAUGGCCUACCAAGGCGACGACGGGUAGCCGGCCUGAGAGGGUGACCGGUCACACUGGGACUGAGAUACGGCCCAGACUCCUACGGGAGGCAGCAGUGGGGAAUAUUGCACAAUGGGCGCAAGCCUGAUGCAGCGACGCCGCGUGAGGGAUGACGGCCUUCGGGUUGUAAACCUCUUUCAGCUAUGACGAAGCGCAAGUGACGGUAGUAGCAGAAGAAGGACCGGCCAACUACGUGCCAGCCGCCGCUGUAA
Molecule: ribosomal RNA, 478 nt
Filed under: uncultured bacterium
Lineage: Bacteria
Description: partial 16S ribosomal RNA
Rfam family: Bacterial small subunit ribosomal RNA
Source: RNAcentral